UUACAAAAGUAUAGUUCAAUAACAAUGUGCUAUAUUUAUACACACUGUUUGCAGUGUUUGCUGCUCACAAACGACGAGCGCAAGAACAUAGAAGGACCCAUUUCCCGUCGAAAGCGAAAAGGGCUAAGAAAGAUUAUGUUAAGGUGAUAUAUUUAAAUAGAAGGCUAUUACUGACUUUUUUGGGUCCAUAUGUUGUUUUACAGAUCUAGUCUAAUAAUUAGUGAUGGUUAUGGCCAUCGUAUUCAUUGAAGAUUUACUUUCUAUGACCAUAGAUAAAUGUCGGCGUAGCGGAAAGAGAUGCCUGCGGGGGAGCGUUGAAGAGAGUUCGAGGGACCACAAUGGACUUGAAGUGGAAUCGUGUGCGUCAAAAGAAGAAAUAACCAAGGCAGCCCUACCAUUGCUGCAAGAACUGACAAGAAAAUUACAUCUUUUGCAAGUGGAGGAUGUGCAACUCAUUUAUGCACACCUAGAGCCGGUCACAGACUUGCCUGCAGGGACUUGCCUGCAGGGGGUCGCGAGCUGGGAGAACGAACCGAAUUCACACUAAAAAAGUACCGGGACUUGGUCAAUCGCCAUUACCACCGAAUAACAUUUUUGGUGUGCGAUAGCGACCACCUCGGUGAGUCCGAUGAUACAUCCUCAUCAAGUGACAGUGCCACCAAGCUACCAGACCUAUCAUACCAUCCAGUUGGUUUUAUUUAGAAUUCCCUAAAUGAGAAUCAAUUAUUUUUCAAUUAAAUUAAGUGUUACUGUUACACGUUAGGCAAUGGAGGAUUACACAUCAUUACGUAUCAUCGUUACACACGCAGGUACACGCACGUACACGC
Priapulus caudatus is the source of this 827-nucleotide long non-coding RNA. RefSeq lists it as uncharacterized. Lineage: Eukaryota; Metazoa; Priapulida; Priapulimorpha; Priapulimorphida; Priapulidae. The record is from RefSeq and is a predicted model, not a curated record. The transcript has 3 exons.